UUUAAUGAGAGUUUGAUCCUGGCUCAGGACGAACGCUGGCGGCGUGCCUAAUACAUGCAAGUAGAACGCUGAGGUUUGGUGUUUACACUAGACUGAUGAGUUGCGAACGGGUGAGUAACGCGUAGGUAACCUGCCUCAUAGCGGGGGAUAACUAUUGGAAACGAUAGCUAAUACCGCAUAAGAGUAAUUAACACAUGUUAGUUAUUUAAAAGGAGCAAUUGCUUCACUGUGAGAUGGACCUGCGUUGUAUUAGCUAGUUGGUGAGGUAAAGGCUCACCAAGGCGACGAUA
This 290-nucleotide ribosomal RNA is filed under the name Streptococcus agalactiae. RNAcentral's name for it is "partial 16S ribosomal RNA". It matches the Rfam family "Bacterial small subunit ribosomal RNA", at positions 1 to 281 of the family's 1533-position model. Lineage: Bacteria; Bacillati; Bacillota; Bacilli; Lactobacillales; Streptococcaceae. The record is from RNAcentral.